AUGAACGCUGGCGGCGUGCUUAAUGCAUGCAAGUCGAACGAGAACCGUUUUGUAGGUAACUACAGAGAGACUUCUAGUGGCAACGGGUGAGUAACACGUGAGAAACCUGCCCCGAAGACCCGGGAUAGCCCAUGGAAACGUGGAUUAAUACCGGAUACCCUCACGGAAUCGCAUGGCUCUGUGAGGAAAUGCUCCGGCGCUUUGGGAUGGUCUCGCGGCCUAUCAGCUUGUUGGUGAGGUAACGGCUCACCAAGGCACUGACGGGUAGCUGGUCUGAGAGGACGAUCAGCCACACUGGGACUGAGACACGGCCCAGACUCCUACGGGAGGCAGCAGCAGGGAAUAUUGCACAAUGGGCGCAAGCCUGAUGCAGCGACGCCGCGUGAGGGAUGAAGGCUUUCGGGUUGUAAACCUCUUUCAGUGGGGAAGAAGCGCAAGUGACGGUACCCACACAAGAAGGCCCGGCCAACUACGUG
This 476-nucleotide ribosomal RNA is filed under the name uncultured bacterium. RNAcentral describes it as "bacterial SSU rRNA". It matches the Rfam family "Bacterial small subunit ribosomal RNA", at positions 29 to 507 of the family's 1533-position model. The record is from RNAcentral.